ACGAACGCUGGCGGCAUGCCUAACACAUGCAAGUCGAACGCGACCUUCGGGUCUAGUGGCGCACGGGUGCGUAACGCGUGGGAACCUGCCCUUAGGUUCGGAAUAACUCCCCGAAAGGGGUGCUAAUACCGGAUAAUGUCUUCGGACCAAAGAUUUAUCGCCUUUGGAUGGGCCCGCGUUGGAUUAGCUAGUUGGUAGGGUAAAAGCCUACCAAGGCGACGAUCCAUAGCUGGUCUGAGAGGAUGAUCAGCCACACUGGGACUGAGACACGGCCCAGACUCCUACGGGAGGCAGCAGUGGGGAAUAUUGGACAAUGGGCGAAAGCCUGAUCCAGCAAUGCCGCGUGAGUGAUGAAGGCCUUAGGGUUGUAAAGCUCUUUUACCCGGGAUGAUAAUGACAGUACCGGGAGAAUAAGCGCCGGCUAACUCCGUG
Molecule: ribosomal RNA, 432 nt
Filed under: uncultured bacterium
Lineage: Bacteria
Description: partial 16S ribosomal RNA
Rfam family: Bacterial small subunit ribosomal RNA
Source: RNAcentral